Molecule: long non-coding RNA, 2251 nt
Filed under: Anthonomus grandis grandis
Lineage: Eukaryota; Metazoa; Arthropoda; Insecta; Coleoptera; Curculionidae
Description: uncharacterized LOC126747667
Source: RNAcentral
ACCGUUAAUCUCGCAACCCUUUUUUUUUUAAUCUCGGGUCCGUUUUCCACUUCCGGCAAAACUCUCUAGAAGGCUUUUCUUUUCGCCAUUGUUUCAGAACCAGGCGUCCCUUAGCAACAGCGGGUUCCCUCCCGGAAAAACGUCCCGGGAAAACGGGAAAAACGCGAGUUAAUUAAAAAAAGUGUUCGAAUCGGGUUCCGUAAACCUCGCGCUUCAUUUUGAUCUAAUUUUCGAUAGUGUGCACCUGUUUUUUCAAAGGAAAAUCGCGAGUGUAGUGCCAUAUGAGGGAGUAGCAGAUCUGGUUGGCGUUAUAGUCUCUUCCCUGGGGGCUUGUCUCUAAGGGGGCAAAGUCCUCAGGACGUGGACAGAAGAGGACCUAAGAAGUAGACGAUAAGGCGGUGGAAUAUACCUUGAAAAGGUAUCUACUAGAGUUCGUUCAAGUAAGUUAAUUCAUUACUAAGCAUGACAGUUUGAAAAUCGCAAAAUUCUGUUGAAUCUACAUUCGGUGUCGCACCGUUGCGGUGCGUCACUGGAUUAACCCUUGACCCUCUCUCUUUAAAAGAUUUUCAAACUUCCAAGAGUCCCUCAGACUCAGAAAGAGAAAAGUCACUUUGACUUUUAAAGAAAAAAAAGGUAGAAACACGCAUGUACACUGGCCCUCCUUGUCGUUGUCCUUGAUGAGCAGCCUCCCCCGGGACACCCUGUAAAAGCCCUCCCCCUCACCUUCUCUUUCAGCUGUCCCUUCAUAAACACUCACAAACACACGGGGGUUAAAACGUGAGAAAAAUCCGGGUUGUUUUCUCGCGGUUUGCCCUCUAUAGGUUAAGCUUUUGUAUUGUUGCAUGUUGUACACACACAUUUCCAUGCUUAGGGGUGCCAAAACCCCCCCUAAGUCAUGCCGGGGGUGCUAAAUUUUCCUCCGGGGCGUCACCAAGAAGGUUUCUUUUGUUUUUUUUUGUCUCCAACCCCCUUCAGUCCCUUAGUUAUCAGCAUAAGUUUUUAUGGUGGUAAUGUAACACUGAAGGGCAUUCACGUCAAUUUUAAAUUAAUUAAUUUUCAAUAUAAUUAUCCCCUUUAGUCCCUUGGUAUUCAGCAUAAGGUUUUAUGGUGAUUAUUCAAUACUAAGGGGUGAUUUUCAUGCUUUUUGGUGACGUCAUUGAUGGGGGAAGCAGUGAUGUCUUGUAAGGAAACUGGAGUGCCAAAAAUCCUCCAUCGUUGCAGGGGGGUCCGGAGCCCUUCAGGUCGGACCCCGUUUGCGUUUGGUUGUUCGUAAGGGUUCAUACGCAGUCAUUUAUUAAUUAUUAGUCAUUUGUUUAAUUUAAAAGUAAAGGAAAGUUAUGUGGGAAAGCUCCAUCCAUCCAAACACACAUUUACUAAUCAUGUAAUUUCUUUCAGCUUUUUAUUGUCGUCGGAGACCCAAGGACAUGUACCUCUCUUUCAGGUUUUCUCUUUCAGGUCCACAGGUUCCAAUCGAGGAUCGAGGUUCCUUCAGUUCUGUCUGAGAGCCACUGAUUUGGCAAUAUCUUCCUUUCAAUCUCUUUUAUUCGUAGAACCAUCCAUUGCUGUACCUCUGGUACUUAUUUUGGGAACAUUGUGUGUGUUAUUGUCCUUGGAAAAGCUUUUUCCAUCAUUUUUCCACAUAGCGGAGUCUCCUCUGGAGCUCCAUCGUUGUCCACCAAUCCACUUCUUCACUCUUGUUGGUAACUCCCGCAUUUCCUCGUUUGUGGAGCGUGAUCCGCUGGAUCCGUCGCCAGCGUCGAUCUCCCACACUCACGAUCGGUUUUCCUGACGAUGGAGAUCCGUCGAAACCCGUUCGCCGAUCGACGUCGAUCUCCCCCUCCAAGAUCCGCUGAAAUCCGUCGAUCAGCGUCCGUGAUCUUCGUCGAUCUCGUUCGGACGCCGCCGUCGUCGCGAUGAAGAUCCGCCGCAAACGUCGUCCGGCGUCGAUCUUCGUUUCUUUUCGUGUUUAGCCGGUCGCCAUCGGGUGAGUUCGCGAAGUGUCAAGUGUGCGUCGGGUGUGUUCGGUUACGGUCGGGUCGCGGGCGUCGUUUGGUUCCGUCGGGUUUUUUCGGAUCUAUGGGAGUCUUGCUUUAUUGUAUUUUAUUUUAUACGGCGUGUCUAUAUAGUGCUCCCUUCCUCCCUUGUAGGUGUAUUUUUGAAGCAAAAACGUUCAUUUUUUUUUGCAUACGGGGGGUGAAAAAAACCACUUUUUUAAAUUAUUCUGACAUAUACAGGGUGUUCACAAGAGGCG